CGGUGUCCCCAUGUGUCACCCGGCCACCCCAGGAUCCCCAUGGGGCACCCGGCCACCACGGCGUCCCCAUGGGGCGCCCGGCCACCACCCAGCAUCACCUCGAGGUAGCCAGCCACCCUGGUGUCCCCAUGGGGCGCUUGGGCACCCUGGUGUCCCCAUGUGUCACCUGGCCACCCUGGCAUCCCCAUGGGGCACCCGGCCACCACGGCAUCCCCAUGGGGCACCCGGCCACCACCCGGCGUCACCUCGAGGUACCCGGCCACCCUGGUGUCCCCAUGUGUCACCUGGCCACCCUGGCAUCCCCAUGGGGCACCCAGCCACCACGGCGUCCCCAUGGGGCACCCAGCCACCACCCGGCGUCACCUCGAGGUACCCGGCCACCCUGGUGUCCCCAUGUGUCACCUGGCCACCCUGGCAUCCCCAUGGGGCACCCGGCCACCACGGCGUCCCCAUGGGGUGCCCGGCCACCACCCGGCGUCACCUCGAGGUACCCGGCCACCCCAGCACCCCAUGGGGCACCCACCCACCCUGGCAUCCCCAUGUGUCACCUGGCCACCCCAGGAUCCCCAUGGGGGACCUGGUCACCGCAGCAUCCCCAUGUGUCACCUGGCCACCCUGGCAUCCCCAUGGGGCACCCAGCCACCACCCGGCGUCACCUUGAGGUACCUGGCCACCAUGGCAUCCCCAGGUGUCACCCGGCCACCCCGGCAUCCCUAUGGGGCACCCCAGCAUCCCCAAGGGGCACCCGGCCAACCCGGCACCCCAUGGGGCACCCAGCCACCCCGGCGUCCCUAUGGGGCACCCGGCCACCCCGACCUCCCCAUGGGCCACCACGGCGUCCCCAUGGGCCACCACGGCGUCCCCCCGGAGCACCCAGCCACCCCGACCUCCCCAAGGGGGGAUCCAGGACAUCUCCUGGUGGGUCCCAGAGGAGGGCAGCGCCGUGGGGUGCCGUGUCCCCAGGGGACGGGGACGGCGGGGCGGGCGCCCGGUGCGGCUGUACCCCGAUGACGCGGGUGGCCAGGCCCUCCUCGAGCUCGUCGCUGGUGGCCUCCUCGGCCCACGUGUCCUCGCUGAGCUGCAGCUCCUGCGCCAUGGCCACCUCCACCUUCGCCUGGGGGGAGGCGGUGCCCGUUGGGGACACGCGGGCUGCGGUGCCCGUCCCCAUGUCCACCACGGUGCCCAU
Molecule: long non-coding RNA, 1186 nt
Filed under: Dromaius novaehollandiae (emu)
Lineage: Eukaryota; Metazoa; Chordata; Aves; Casuariiformes; Dromaiidae
Description: lncRNA (ENSDNVG00000000356.1)
Source: RNAcentral